Molecule: ribosomal RNA, 5244 nt
Filed under: Tricholoma saponaceum
Lineage: Eukaryota; Fungi; Basidiomycota; Agaricomycetes; Agaricales; Tricholomataceae
Description: large subunit ribosomal RNA
Rfam family: Bacterial large subunit ribosomal RNA
Source: RNAcentral
AAAUUAUAUAUUAAAUAUAUAAAAAAAAGUAUUUCAAAGGGGUUAUUAAGGAAAACUAAGGCAAAUUUAUAAAAAAGGAGGUUAUAAACCAAAAGCUUCAAGAAAUAUACACUAUUUUCUGAUAUGAACAAAAGCGAUCCUAAGGUAAACCUUGUUUAAACAAAUACUUCCUGAAGUAAAACAUUUUAUUAGGGAAAGGAAAGGAAAUCAACCGAGACUCUGAAAGUAAUGGUGAGUGAAAUCAGAUUAGCCUAAAUUAAUAUUAUAAAUUGAAUAACUUAAUUAUCUUAAUUAAAGAGUGGAUCUUUUGAUUUAUCAAUGGAAAUUACUUAUUAUUAAGUAUAUAUUAGUUAGCAUCUUUUUUUUUAAUAAUGGUUUAAGUACCAUAAUAAGAAAAUCUUUGCUCCAAAGAAGGUUCUAAAAUUCUAAGUCCUGUAGAUUUAUACUUUAAUUAAAAAAAGAAUAAAUUAAUAGAUAUAAAAUUAUUUAAUUAGAAAUAAAAAAUAAUUUGUUAAGUUAUAUUUUUUAAAUAAAAAAUCUCUAAUUAAAUUCUUUAAUUUCAAUAAUCAAUGUUCUUGUUUAAGUAUGAUGAGAGAAAACUUGUCAGAAUAUAGGGGAACCAUCCUCUAAGGCUAAGUAUUAUAAAUUUAGCGAUAGUGAAUAAGUACUGUAAAGGAAAAGUUUGAAAAGCGAGUGGUAUACAAAAAGUGAAUUUUUAAACCUUUUAUUUUAAAUAUUUCAUUAAUUACAACUAAUUUGGAAUUCCUUAAUUGGAUCUCAAAUAAAGUAUAAAAAUAUAAAAUAGGAAAAAUAAAGAUUAAAAAUGAAUCGAUGAAAUAGAUCAUGAAUUAGUAACUCUAUAAGCAGUCGAAAUUCUACUUUAAGAAAAAGAUGAAAGAAUGACGGCGUACCUUUUGCAUAAUGGGUCAGCAAGUUAAUAGGAGUAGCAAGGUUUAAAGCCCUAGCGAAAGCGACUGGACUAUAAUAUUAAAAAACAAAAACAGUACAAAAAAGUAUAAAUAUAGUGAUGGAUAAGUUACUUCUAUUAGACCCGAAGCCAGGUGAUCUUACCAAGACCAGAUUAUAAUGGAUCGAACGGGUGAAUGUUGCAUAAUUCUCCGAUGAGUUUUGGUAAGCGGUGAAAUGCCAAUCUGACCUGGUGCUAGCUGGUUUUCUACCGAAACAUAUUUAAGUAUGAUGUCUACACAAAAUUUAUGGAGGUACAGCAAGGCAAUUCCCAACAAGUUUAAGAGUUGUGAUUAAAAUUAAAAAUAAAAAAAUAAAUCACUUCAAUCUUUUAGGCGUUUAGGUUGUGGGGACCUCGGAAAUCUUACCUUUGGAAGCGAAUCUCGGAAUUACAUAAAUUGGUGGUAGAUAUUCAGACUACUCAUGCUAAGUUGGGUAGUCAAGACGGAAACAGCCGAGAACACUGAUCAAGGUCCCAAAUGAUUGUUAAGUGAAAUUAAGGAUGUAGCAAUAUCAUAUACAGCUGUGAAGUGAGCCUGGUAGUCGCUACUUAUAAUGAUCGUAUGUAACAACGCAUCAGCAGUCUAGAUAGUAGCACCGAAAAUUUAACGGGUCUUAAACAAUCAACCGAUAUCGUGUUGAUUUUGAAUAAAAUUAUUUAAAUUGAUAGUUAAUAUCUUUUCAAUUUAUUCUUAAUCUAGGUAGUAGAACAUUCAGUCAAACUAAUAAUAAAAUAGUGUUUCAUUGUUUUUUAGGUUACUGAAGAGAGAAUGCUGACAUGAGUAACGUAAAAAGAAGUUAUAAUACUUCUCGCCGAAUACAAAAGGGUUGCAAAUUGGAAAGGUUAAUCCGUUUUGUGUGAAUGCGGCCUCUAAGGACCAAAACCAAAGUUUUGGCUGAUGAGUCUAUAAUAGAAAGUCCAUUGAUUUAAAAUAAUGGUCCAAGAAAAUAAUAUUAUAAGUCCUUUAUUUUAAGAUAAAAUUCUUUUUAAAAUUAAAAUAAUCUCUAAAAUAAAAAUAUUCUUAUUUUACUCAUUCUAUACAUAUCUCUAAUAGUGUCUAGAUAAAUUUAGAUUAAUUAAUUAAAAAAUUAUUAUUAUUUAUUAGAUUAAUAGUCUUUGAAAAUAAUUUUAGAUAAGUUAUUAUUAUUAAUUUUUAUUAUUUUUUUAAUUUAAAGAAUAUUCUAAUAGGGAUAAAGAUGUAGAAUUUGGAAAAGCUUAUUUAUAUUUAUUUAGAUUGAAAUUUGGAAUUAUAUCUUAUAAUUUAGGACUUUAUUUUAUAUUUAUUAAAUUUGGCUAAUGUGCCAGACAAAUGUUAGUUAUUAUAAUUAUUUAUAAUAUAAAAAUUACAGAUUAUUUUAAAAAUUAAUCUCUGCAAAUAUCCUUAUCUAUUUGAUUAUAGUUGGGACUAUGUGGUGAUAAUAUAAAUCUAGAAAUCUAUAUAGGAUCCUAUUGAAGAGAUCUUUGUCUAAAUUAAUUAUUAGUUAGUUUAGAAUAUAGUCAUGAUUUAUGAUUAAAUCAGGGUUUUUCAUGUAUAUUAUUUCAGAUUACCAAUGAUUAAUCUAAAUUCUGACACUAAGGUUUAUUUUGUUGAUUUGAGUCUCUAAAUUCUAUAUUUGAAAGAUUUAUUUGUUUAUGUUUAAAAAAUAUAAAUGAAAAAAUUAAAAUCCAUUUGUCAUGUCUAAUGAUAAAGAGAGAUAUUACCUCCUCCCUAUUUGGAUUAUAUUAUUGUGUUAAUUCCUGGUUAAAAAUGUUCAUUAAUUUGAUAUUUAUAUAACUAGGAAAAAUAAUCAGAUUAGUGAAAUAAUCAGAAAAAGAUAACUAUCCGGUUUCUUAAUAUCACAUUUAUCCCAAAUGAAUGUGUUAUCACUAAUUUAAGUAGAUUAUUUAUUUUUAAUUAUAAUUUCUCUCAAAAAAAUAGAUUGAAGGAUAUCUUUUUUAUUUUGUUUAGUUUAUAUUUAUUAUUUGUUAUUAGUUAAUUUAACUUAACUAUUUAAUUUAACUUUCAAUUGCUAAAAUAAUAACUCAUUUUAAAUAUAACUUUAAUAUAUUUCAAAAAUAUUUAAAUAGGGUUUAAGAAAAAAUUAAAAUUUCAUAAACAAAAUAAAUUUGUUGUUUCUAUUCCUCUAUUUGUUUAGAAUAAAUAUUAGUUAUUAAUAUUUACUAAAAAUAUCUUAAAUAUAAUCUAUUAAACUACCGUACCCUAAACCGACACAGGUUUGUAGGUAGAGAAUACUAAGGCGUAGAGCUAAAAGUUGUUAAGGAACUCGGCAAGUUCACCUCAUAAGUUUGACGAAAAGAGGGACCACAAAUAUAAAUUAAUAUUUAACAGUCCGGAUUGUUAAAUUAAUUAAAUUAAUUAAAUAAUUAUAUUAAUUAUAUAAGGUGGUGGCACAAAAUCGGAGGCCCCGACUGUUUACUAAAAACACAACACAGUGCAAUCAUUAAUAUGAUAGUAUACUGUGUGAAAUUUGCCCGAUGCCAUUAAUAUAAGAGCGGUUAUAGGGAACUGUGACUAAUCGAAAAUCUGGUUAAUAGCGGUCUUAACUAUGAGGAUCCUAAGGUAGCAAAAUCAGUUGGCCAUUAAAUGUGGUCCGGUAUCAAUAAUGUAACGAUGGCCUCACUGUCUCUACAACUUGCUCAGUGAAAUUGAAUUACACGUGCAGAUGCGUGUUGCCUCCAGGGGGACGGGAAGACCCUAUGCAGCUUUACUGUAGUUAGUUAUCACAUGAAUCUAGAACAAUCUUAUUUAAUAGUAAAUAGGGAAGUCGAGAGACAAUUAUAAUUAUAAUUAUAAUUAUUUGGAAACCUUAUAAUUAAGAUUGGGUUUAUGUUUACCUUAUAAUUAAAAAAAAAAGGGAGAGUUGACUAAUUGGCAGUUUGACUGGGGCGGUCGUCUUUAAUAGAGUAGCAAAGUACAUCCAAAUAUUUAUAACAUAUUAGGUAAUAAGACCUAAAAUCUCAAUUUAAGAAAUAAAUUAAUUGUCAAAAAAAAGAGUAAUAUAUUUAAUUUAAUAGUUAAAUAAAAAUCUUUAAGAGCCUUUAAUCUGGAAUUGAGAUUAAAACAAAUAAUUUAUUCUCUUUUGUUGUAAUAUUAAAAUUUAUAUUAAAAGAGAAAAAUAACAAUUAAUAGAUAACUACAAAUAUCUUAAUAUUCAUUAUUAUUUGUAAAAAUUUAUAGUGACUAAUAAGAGAUUAAGUAGCUAAAAUCAUUUUAUUAAUUAACAAAUAAAAUAAAAACUUUCUCUUUAGCUUCUUAUCAGACCCUCCGGCUUUAGCUUGAGGGAUUGUUUACUAUUUUCUUUUUAUAAAUGUGGCCUAUUAGCCUUAUUUUAAUUAGAAUAAUGAAAGCCUUAAGCCUUAAAUGGUUUACUGAUACAGAAAGUGAGCCCUUACUCCCUCAAUACCUUUAAGUUAUAUAUCCAUAUAAUAUAGAGGAAAUAAAUCUUGAGGAAAAACUAUGUUUAACAAAGUAGGUAAGGGACAAGAGUUUGGCUAAAAAUAAUAAUAUACUAAAAAUUUUUAAAAGGUAUAGCUAGAUAUUGAAUGGAGAUCAAUCAACCAGUGAAGGGUUGCGCAGAGUUCAAUGGCGGUAAGCAUGCUUAACUGAAAGACCUAAAAGUCACACAGAUACGUAAGUAGGGCAUAGUGACCCCUCGCUAUAAUAUGGGAUAGACGGGGAUCAAUUAAUAAAAGUUACGCUAGGGAUAACAGGCUGAUAGCCGACGAGAGUACACAUUGUCUCGGCUGUUUGGCACCUCGAUGUCGACUCAUCCUAUCCUCCGGGGGAAGAAGCUUGGAAGGGUUCGGCUGUUCGCCGAUUAAAAGGGUACGUGAGUUGGGUUUAAUACGACGUGAGUCAGUAUGGUCCCUAUCUUCUGGAGGGAUAAGUAGUAAAAAGGGGCAGACCUUCUAGUACGAAAGGAUCAAUAGGCUGUGUUUCUCUAGUGUACCAAUUGUUUCUAUUUUAUUGUAAGGGACUCAAAGUAUCUUGAAGACAAAAUUAAAGAAAAAUGGGGAAAAUCCUUUGUAAACUGUUUAGUUUACUCUUAAUAAUUAAUAUUUAUUGAGAAAAAGGUCACAAUUUCAGAAUGCAUAGUUGGGUAGCCACAAACAUAAUAGAUAAGUGCUGAAUGUCUAUAAAGCAAGAAUCUAACCCCUAGAUACUAAAAAAUGAUUAGUUUAGUUACUUUCUUGUAGACUUGAUAAGAGAAUCUAAAACAAGGUAAUAAUUUAUCAUUAAUUAAGAAAUAGAACAUUUCUAGAUAGGCUGCAAAUGC